RNA transcript from Halichondria panicea, 1684 nucleotides. It is a transcript of the gene named methylmalonyl-CoA mutase, mitochondrial-like, with no coding region annotated. The record is from RefSeq and is a predicted model, not a curated record. NCBI's taxonomy places the organism in Eukaryota, Metazoa, Porifera, Demospongiae, Suberitida, Halichondriidae. The transcript is spliced from 6 exons.
CAUCCUCCACCCUCCAGUGAACUCAGAGAGGAGAUAUGAACAACACAACAAUCUUUGCAGCUAGCUCUGCUGAUCCUAGGAGAGUGUUUGACUGAGCUCUUAAGUUGUUGAUCUGAGCAAUGCUGAGGGGCAGCAAAAUUAAUAUCUAAGACUGGUGAGACUGAGGUGUGGAGGAGGGAGACCACUGACGGCCAGUCUGUGUGGUGAUCACCAUGGCAAACACAGGCUAUUGCACACCACCAGAACCAGCGGAGAUGACACUGUGGGGGGUGAUAAAAGAGCCAAGCCAAAGGUUUCACUAGACAAGGAGUGGGCGGCUCUAGCCAGGAAGAUGCUCAAGGGAGCUGACCCGGAGGAGAGGCUCACCUGGAGAACCCCCGAGUACGCAGGGUUCAGUACAGUUGAGGAGAGCAACAAGUUCUACAAGGCCAACAUAGCGGCCGGUCAGCAAGGGUUGAGUGUGGCCUUUGACCUGCCCACUCACAGGGGGUACGAUUCUGAUAACCCCCUCGCUGUGGGGGACGUGGGAAUGGCAGGGGUCGUUGUGGACUCAGUGGAGGAUAUGAAGGGAGUCAAGCUGGAGGAGCUUCAGGGGACUAUCCAGAACGAUAUCUUGAAGGAGUUCAUGGUCUGCAACACGUACAUCUACCCACCAGAGUUCUCCAUGAAGAUCAUUGGAGAUAUAUUCACGUUACAGGUUAGAAUUGGUGUGCAUGGGUACUUAGGGGAUUAUGUGAUUUGUUAAGUGAUGGGUGGAUCCUUGUAAGCAAUAGCACCUGUACCUUUAACCAGCGGAGUUCAUGAAUAUUCAUGUUCUCCUAUGAUAUCAAUAGCCCAACGUUUAUAUCUAACGUAAUAAUCAUAUAGAUAAGUAUUUCAACAAACUAACCUGUAUGUGAUCACUCAAAAUUAGCUUCAAAACAGGCCCAUUUGGGAACAUUACUAAGGCUAUACAUAAUGUACACCUGGUACCCAUGAUCUCAAACACACUGCACAAUACACGACCACAAUGCAUGAAUCUGUACCAGGACUUUCCCAAAUUCAAUUAGCUUAUCAAAACACUGUUCACACAGGGCUUAUACAGUUUCCCAAAUUCAAUUAGCUUAUCAAACACUGCUCACACAGGGCUUAUACAGUUUCCCAAAUUCAAUUAGCUUAUCAAAGCAAAGGAAAGGGGAUUGGAAACCACCUGGGCCUCCCUGUGCAAUGGUUGAAACACUCCCGUUAUAUGUAGCGAUCACGAAUAUUUUUAGUAGGUUGACCGUUCUAUUUAGCCCACUAGCCAUCACUCAGGGGCUGGGAGGUACUCUAGAGAAGUAAGGUUUACAUCAAUGACUAGCUCACUUUUUUAACUAAGACUACUAUAUUCCUUUGUUCAAUAUAUUCAUACUUUUGUACAGUGUAAUUAUUAUAUAAUUAUUAUGUGAACACAUUGAAUAAAAAUGGAAGCUUUAAUAUAACUUCCGAAAAUUGUUUUGAAAUGAUGUAUUAACCUUCAUUUGUGUAUGUAGGUCAGUGGAUUUUAGUGCUAUUCAAUUUUCAAUCAAAUGAUAGGCAAUUUGGGCUUGUUUCAAUAAGAAUCAUGGAAUGAAUGUUUAAUUUCUGCGUAUAUAGAUGUUUGAAGACAGUGCAUGUAUGUGAAUUUUAUACACGAUAGAGCAUUACAACUUUGCCCCCCCCCCCU